Molecule: ribosomal RNA, 427 nt
Filed under: uncultured Azohydromonas sp.
Lineage: Bacteria; Pseudomonadati; Pseudomonadota; Betaproteobacteria; Burkholderiales; Sphaerotilaceae
Description: bacterial SSU rRNA
Rfam family: Bacterial small subunit ribosomal RNA
Source: RNAcentral
UGGGGAAUUUUGGACAAUGGGCGCAAGCCUGAUCCAGCCAUGCCGCGUGCGGGAAGAAGGCCUUCGGGUUGUAAACCGCUUUUGUCGGGGAAGAAAUGCUCCGGGAUAAUACCCUGGGGAGAUGACGGUACCCGAAGAAUAAGCACCGGCUAACUACGUGCCAGCAGCCGCGGUAAUACGUAGGGUGCAAGCGUUAAUCGGAAUUACUGGGCGUAAAGCGUGCGCAGGCGGUUGUGCAAGACAGAUGUGAAAUCCCCGGGCUCAACCUGGGAACUGCAUUUGUGACUGCACGGCUGGAGUGCGGCAGAGGGGGAUGGAAUUCCGCGUGUAGCAGUGAAAUGCGUAGAUAUGCGGAGGAACACCGAUGGCGAAGGCAAUCCCCUGGGCCUGCACUGACGCUCAUGCACGAAAGCGUGGGGAGCAAACA